AUUGAACGCUGGCGGCAGGCCUAACACAUGCAAGUCGAGCGGAUGAAGGGAGCUUGCUCCUGGAUUCAGCGGCGGACGGGUGAGUAAUGCCUAGGAAUCUGCCUGGUAGUGGGGGAUAACGUCCGGAAACGGGCGCUAAUACCGCAUACGUCCUGAGGGAGAAAGUGGGGGAUCUUCGGACCUCACGCUAUCAGAUGAGCCUAGGUCGGAUUCGCUAGUUGGUGGGGUAAAGGCCUAUCAAGGCGACGAUCCGUAACUGGUCUGAGAGGAUGAUCAGUCACACUGGAACGGAGACACGGUCCAGACUCCUACGGGAGGCACCAGUGGGGAAUAUUGGACAAUGGGCGAAAGCCUGAUCCAGCCAUGCCGCGUGUGUGAAGAAGGUCUUCGGAUUGUAAAGCACUUUAAGUUGGGAGGAAGGGCAGUAAGUUAAUACCUUGCUGUUUUGACGUUACCAACAGAAUAAGCACCGGCUAACUUCGUG
Molecule: ribosomal RNA, 484 nt
Filed under: uncultured bacterium
Lineage: Bacteria
Description: partial 16S ribosomal RNA
Rfam family: Bacterial small subunit ribosomal RNA
Source: RNAcentral